ACUCCUGCGGGAGGCAGCAGUGGGGAAUUUUGGACACUGGGCGAAAGCCUGAUCCAGCAAUGCCGCGUGAGUGAAGAAGGCCUUCGGGUUGUAAAGCUCUUUUGUCAGGGAAGAAACGGUGAAAGCUAAUAUCUUUUGCUAAUGACGGUACCUGAAGAAUAAGCACCGGCUAACUACGUGCCAGCAGCCGCGGUAAUACGUAGGGUGCAAGCGUUAAUCGGAAUUACUGGGCGUAAAGCGUGCGCAGGCGGUUUUGUAAGUCUGAUGUGAAAUCCCCGGGCUCAACCUGGGAAUUGCAUUGGAGACUGCAAGGCUAGAAUCUGGCAGAGGGGGGUAGAAUUCCACGUGUAGCAGUGAAAUGCGUAGAUAUGUGGAGGAACACCGAUGGCGAAGGCAGCCCCCUGGGUCAAGAUUGACGCUCAUGCACGAAAGCGUGGGGAGCAAACAGGAUUAGAAACCCGUGUAGUCCCAUG
Molecule: ribosomal RNA, 473 nt
Filed under: uncultured organism
Description: partial 16S ribosomal RNA
Rfam family: Bacterial small subunit ribosomal RNA
Source: RNAcentral